RNAcentral lists this ribosomal RNA (466 nucleotides) under uncultured bacterium. RNAcentral describes it as "partial 16S ribosomal RNA". It matches the Rfam family "Bacterial small subunit ribosomal RNA", at positions 28 to 507 of the family's 1533-position model. The record is from RNAcentral.
GAUGAACGCUGGCGGCGUGCUUAACACAUGCAAGUCGAACGAUGAAGCCCAGCUUGCUGGGUGGAUUAGUGGCGAACGGGUGAGUAACACGUGAGUAACCUGCCCUCAACUCUGGGAUAAGCCUGGGAAACUGGGUCUAAUACCGGAUAGGAGCGCCUACCGCAUGGUGGGUGUUGGAAAGAUUUAUCGGUUUUGGAUGGACUCGCGGCCUAUCAGCUUGUUGGUGAGGUAAUGGCUCACCAAGGCGACGACGGGUAGCCGGCCUGAGAGGGUGACCGGCCACACUGGGACUGAGACACGGCCCAGACUCCUACGGGAGGCAGCAGUGGGGAAUAUUGCACAAUGGGCGGAAGCCUGAUGCAGCGACGCCGCGUGAGGGAUGACGGCCUUCGGGUUGUAAACCUCUUUCAGUAGGGAAGAAGCGAAAGUGACGGUACCUGCAGAAGAAGCACCGGCUAACUACGUG